CAGGAAACAGCUUGCUGCUUCGCUGACGAGUGGCGGACGGGUGAGAAAGAGGGAACACUGCCUGAUGGAGGGGGAUAACUACUGGAAAGGUAGCUAAUACCGCAUAACGUCGCAAGACCAAAGAGGGGGACCUUCGGGCCUCUUGCCAUCGGAUGUGCCCAGAUGGGAUUAGCUAGUAGGUGGGGUAACGGCUCACCUAGGCGACGAUCCCUAGCUGGUCUGAGAGGAUGACCAGCCACACUGGAACUGAGACACGGUCCAGACUCCUACGGGAGGCAGCAGUGGGGAAUAUUGCACAAUGGGCGCAAGCCUGAUGCAGCCAUGCCGCGUGUAUGAAGAAGGCCUUCGGGUUGUAAAGUACUUUCAGCGGGGAGGAAGGGAGUAAAGUUAAUACCUUUGCUUAUUUUUUUUUACCCGCAGAAGAAGCACCGGCUAACUCCGUGCCAGCAGCCGCGGUAAUACGGAGGGUGCAAGCGUUAAUCGGAAUUACUGGGCGUAAAGCGCACGCAGGCGGUUUGUUAAGUCAGAUGUGAAAUCCCCGGGCUCAACCUGGGAACUGCAUCUGAUACUGGCAAGCUUGAGUCUCGUAGAGGGGGGUAGAACUCCAUG
This 609-nucleotide ribosomal RNA is filed under the name Escherichia coli. RNAcentral describes it as "bacterial SSU rRNA". It matches the Rfam family "Bacterial small subunit ribosomal RNA", at positions 69 to 673 of the family's 1533-position model. The record is from RNAcentral. Lineage: Bacteria; Pseudomonadati; Pseudomonadota; Gammaproteobacteria; Enterobacterales; Enterobacteriaceae.